Long non-coding RNA from Heterocephalus glaber (naked mole-rat), 3580 nucleotides. The record is from Ensembl. NCBI's taxonomy places the organism in Eukaryota, Metazoa, Chordata, Mammalia, Rodentia, Bathyergidae.
GAGCGCAGGCCGCGCCGGCCUCGGGAGGGGAGGGGAGCUCUCAGGAGGGACAGAGGGUCCCACAGGAGCUUGAGAGGCCGCGGAAGACCUCGACCCUUUCUGGCACUUCGGCGACCGCAGCUCCAGGGCCGGACGGUGCUCUGCAGAAAGGCCUGCAGCGGACAGCGGCUCUUCCGGCUGUGGGCGACCCCCUCGGAUCGCGCCCAGGGUCGCGCAGGGUCUGGCUGGGGAGCUGGCCGGGGAGCUGGGUGCACGGGGCAGGCAGGCUUGGGGCGGGGCAGAGAGAAUGCGGGCAGUAAGCCAGGUUUCCAGUUGUUUGAUUUCUUUCCUUUCUUUCGUUUGGACCGCGCCUGGGCCUGGGCGGUCAGGAACCCACCUGCUGGGGCGGCCCGGCCCAGAGCGCGGGAGCCGCCUUCGCCCCGGAACCAGGCUGGCUCGCUCGCGCUCGCUCCGCUCCUUCAUUCCUUCAUCUCUUGCACGCUCGCGUGUAUUCACGUGGGCAACUGUGUGCGAGUGAGCACACCCUCCUGCGAGCGGCGUCAGGGGACCUCGCUCAGGACACUGCCAGCAUCAGUCGUUCAGAGCCCCGCGGGCCCUAGGCGCCCGAGGCAUUUCGUCGCCUGCUUUGCCGCCGCUGGGGAACCAUGGCCGGUUGUGGGUUCAGUAGAGACUGGACCCGGGGUCGAGGAUCGGGUAGUGAAUCGUCAAGCGCGGCCCCUGGGCCACCGAACGCCAGGACUGCAUCGCCCAGUCCUGGCUGGGCUCCGCGGGCACCAGAGAGCGGGGUGGAAGAGGCGGAUCGCGUGUGGCGACACAGGGCGCAGCGGACCCCGCUCGAGCACCCGCCCUGGACCUGUGGGCGCGCAGACGGAGAGGCGAGGAGAGGUGAUUCGAGAGAGAACUUCGAGCUCUGCUCACCUCCUAAAGCACUUCUUCCUUCUUUCCUUUUCCCUUCUUACUUCCCUCCCUCUCUUCUUUCCCCUUCUCUCUCUCCUUCCCCUUUUCUCUAACUUCUCUCCUCCCCAUGUGCUUGCAGGAACUCCGGGUGUGAACUCAGAAACACCCAAAUUGGAGUUUGCGGCGUCUGACCCCAGCCUCACUCUACCUGUGAAAUGAGAACAGUGCUGCUGGGCUCAUGCAGCAUUUCUGAGAACUCCUAUAUUUUCAUGGAGUGUUAAACAACUGAAAACAUUUUAAAGGACCCUCUGUGAAGUGGGCAGCCCGAGUCUGGGCCUGAGUCUUUUCCCAGAUGGAGUAGGAAGCAGAGCCCAAAGAUGCAUCUCUGGCCCGCAAGCCUGUGCCACCUGGUCCUUGUGCACCAGAGGAGGGGCUUCCCCAAGGCUGUGUGGUCCCCUUGGCCUCCACCCUGUCCAGUCUGACCUCUGCAAGUCCAGCAGACCUUCUCAUCGCAUGCUUGGAGCUCAGGCAUGUCCAGGACAACUGAAAGGCAAGUGGGCAAACCCUGGCCAGGGCUGGGGUGCAGCCCAGAGCCAGGGACCUGGCCAGGCCCCUCCCCAUCCCCUGAGGCCCCACUUGUGGCUGGUCCAGCAACCAGCCUCGUGCAUUUCCUACAAGUUGCUGCACUCAAAAUUCCUCAUUUCUAACCCACAGAAAUCUCUUCAGUCAUUUAGGAGAAAUCCACCAACGUUCCUAAUUUAGAAUAACUUUCUGAGGGGUGAAAACAAACAGCAGGGAUUUAAGAUAUACCUGCAGGCUGAACCUAGCUGAGCAAAGCAGCAGAAUGCAGACACCUGGACAGAGUUUCUCCCAGGCCUUGGGGACUGUAGCUCUUUCACGUGGAGGGUGUUUUCAGACUAGCUUGCUCGUGGCUGUGGGUGUAACAUCAAAGCCCUUUUGUAAGAGCGGAUUAACAGCAACACAAUACUAAGGUACAACCCCCCCCCACCAAGUUUUCUUGGGGUUCCUGGGAUCAGCCCCCACCCCGCCUGGCAGUUUCCUGUCACCUGGGUGGCUGUGCAGAAUCCCUGUCUCCAGUCCCACCUGUUACACCAGCUGUGCGAGCUUCAGCAAGAUACUUAGCCGGGCCCAGAGCCUCGCUGUGGCCCCGAGAGCUGGAGGACGAGGGGUCCACGCUCUGUGCACCCUCUGGGUGGCGCCGAGACACUACAGCCCUUGUGAGAGUGUCCACUUCUCCCCAGCGCCGCAGGCUGGAGAGUUCCCAGUCAAGAACAGACUUUUUCUCCCUUAAUUCUCUUCACCUCCACUCCGAACACUGUCCGGCCUCUGAAAGAGAGCACUUGUGCCAGACCACUGCACAGAAGUGAUCUUUCUUAGGUCACAACUAUGAACUCCCAAAUUUCGAUGGAAAAUCAACAAAUUUCAAGAAAAACUAAUGAUUGGUUCAAAGGAAUGUAUUUCUUUCUCUUUGUUUUUUAUUCUACUGCUUCUUCCAAAAUGCCUAGAGGAAGAUGGGAAGGAGUGGGACCCACCCACAACAGUGCAGCCACCAGCCUGGAGAAUCUGCCUAGGUCCUGCGCCCUCGGGGGCUCCUGGCCAGGUGUGAGAGGCGGAGGGGGCUGUGAGACAGCCUGGGAAUCUCAUAUUGAAUUUAAGAAAAACAAAACAAAACAAAACAGACAAUAGUAUUAGUUUGAAAUCCACCCAUUAAAGCAAUCUUAAGCUGAGAGGCUGAGGACACUUGUUUGUUUAGCUUAAGAGACUGCUUUAAUGGGUGGAUUUCAACCCGCUAUUAUGUUGGGUGUCUUAAACAAAAUGCCAAGACCAUAGCAUAGCACAGCGGGCCUGCAGAAGCUCACAGGAGACCCGGAGGCUCCGCACAAGCAGUGCUCUGGUCAGGAAAUAAAACACACGCAGCCCGGCUGCUCUGAGGCUCCCUGUCACUAAACUAAGUUUCCUUGAAGCAGCCACUGAGUAGCAGUCCAUUAAAAAGCAGUUACUACUAAAAAUCUGAGGGAUAGUAAGGCCAGCAGAUCGAGUGGGAAAGAGUAUGUUAACAUUUCUUGGGGGGAACGUGGGGUGUGGGGUCAGCAGGAGGCAGAGGGAGAAGGGCUAACUGUGGGCAGGAGCCUUUGCCACAGAGGAAGGGAUGGUCAGGCAGGGUGAGCAGGUUUAGGUUGCCUGGAGGGAAGAUCCCAACAGGCUCUGGGGUGCAGGGCCUGGCCCGAGCCCUCUGGCACCCGGGCCUGGAGAUAGGGCAGGGGAUGGCGACCAGGAGUGUAAGAGACCUUCAGAGGAGGCCGCUGAGUUGGCUCAGGACUCUGGGUCUGCACACGAAAGACAGGCUCCUGGGUGAGUUCUGUGGUCCCCGCAGGACUUGGCUAACUCUGGGAGACACAGUCCCUCAAGGGUCUGCAAAGCCCCAGCAAUCAAAGAAUCCGGAUAUAGAAAACACAGGGCGUGAUGAAUAUGCAUCCAUCUUUGCCACUCCAGAACCUAAAAUAAUGCUUUGCACAUAGUGGGCACUCAACAAAGAGGAAAAGAUGGAAAGAAAAAAGGAAAGGAAGAAGGAAGAGGGAAGCACCUGUUGGCUAGUUGGGUCGUAAGAGGGCUGCUUUUGAUAGCCUUAUUCCCACAAACUCUGCAGUAAGCUGCCCAGAGC